CCUACGGGCGGCAGCAGUGGGGAAUAUUGCACAAUGGGGGAAACCCUGAUGCAGCGACGCCGCGUGAGUGAAGAAGUAUUUCGGUAUGUAAAGCUCUAUCAGCAGGGAAGAAAAUGACGGUACCUGACUAAGAAGCCCCGGCUAACUACGUACCAGCAGCCGCUGUACAACUGAGGGUGCAAGCGUUAGGCGGAUUUACUGGGUGUAAAGUGAGCGGAGACGGCAGAGCAAGUCUGAAGUGAAAGCUCGCGGCCCAACCGCGGGACUGCUUUGGAAGCUGCCCGGCUAGAGUGCUGGAGAGGUAAGCGGAAUUCCUAGUGUAGCGGUGAAAUGCGUAGAUAUUAGGAGGAACACCAGUGGCGAAGGCGGCUUACUGGACAGUAACUGACGUUGAGGCUCGAAAGCGUGGGGAGCAAACAGGAUUAGAUACCCCUGUAGUC
Molecule: ribosomal RNA, 440 nt
Filed under: uncultured bacterium
Lineage: Bacteria
Description: partial 16S ribosomal RNA
Rfam family: Bacterial small subunit ribosomal RNA
Source: RNAcentral